Molecule: non-coding RNA, 70 nt
Organism: Podarcis lilfordi (Lilford's wall lizard)
Lineage: Eukaryota; Metazoa; Chordata; Lepidosauria; Squamata; Lacertidae
Source: the annotation of a GenBank genome assembly
GACAUAGCUCAGUGGCAGAGUUAUCUGCCUUGCAAGCAGAAGGUCCCAGGUUCAGUUCCUGAUGGCAUCU